GUUAUAACUUAUCCCGCAUAGUUCCUUUAUUUUCGCCAUGCCGCACACGCAAGCUCGAAAAGAAGAAAGCAAUGUCUAAAGACUGUUUCUCUGUGCUGCAAUUUGCGGCACCGCGGUGGAAAGGUGGCAACAUGCAUACCGUUAUAACACUUGCUGAAGGAUGCAGACAACGCGCGAUGGAGAAUGGCGCAAAUCAGAAACCUGCGCAUUAGAAGGAAGGUUACCGUGGUUUCUUCUGACCCCUUCGCUCGCGACGACUUCGUUCUGCCCGCUUUUCCCAGCAAGAGGAAAGCUUCACAUCUUGGUGGGAAAAUGUCGCACACCGAAUACGUAUUCACGGCCAAGAGCACGAGAAUUGACUGGAAGAAAACUGAUCUAGCAGGAAUGCCACUCCAUCGACUGUGUGGUUUGGUUGCACAAGACCUGCUGCAAAUCGUUUCAUGCAAACAAUGUCGCAUAAAGAAUAGUGUAUUUAUACAACUGCGGAAUAAACAUAUAAGGUGAGAAAGC
Molecule: long non-coding RNA, 510 nt
Organism: Rhipicephalus microplus (southern cattle tick)
Lineage: Eukaryota; Metazoa; Arthropoda; Arachnida; Ixodida; Ixodidae
Source: RefSeq, a predicted model, not a curated record